This 430-nucleotide ribosomal RNA is filed under the name uncultured bacterium. Its description in RNAcentral is "bacterial SSU rRNA". It matches the Rfam family "Bacterial small subunit ribosomal RNA", at positions 29 to 510 of the family's 1533-position model. The record is from RNAcentral.
AACGAACGCUGGCGGCAGGCCUAACACAUGCAAGUCGAACGAGAUCUUCGGAUCUAGUGGCGGACGGGUGAGUAACGCGUGGGAACGUGCCCUUCUCUACGGAAUAGUCCCGGGAAACUGGGUUUAAUACCGUAUACGCCCUUCGGGGGAAAGAAUUUCGGGGAAGGAUCGGCCCGCGUUGGAUUAGGUAGUUGGUGGGGUAAUGGCCUACCAAGCCGACGAUCCAUAGCUGGUUUGAGAGGAUGAUCAGCCACACUGGGACUGAGACACGGCCACGACUCCUACGGGAGGCAGCAGUGGGGAAGUCUUAGACAAUGGGGGCGAACCCUUCUAGCCAUGCCGCGUGAGUGACGAAGGCCUAGGUCGUAAAGCUCUUUCGCCAGGGAUGAUAAUGACAGUACCUGGUAAAACCCCGGCUAACUCCGUGCCA